UUGAGCUUGAUCCUGGCUCAGAUUGAACGCUGGCGGCAGGCCUAACACAUGCAAGUCGAGCGGAAACGAUGGAAGCUUGCUUCCAGGCGUCGAGCGGCGGACGGGUGAGUAACGCAUGGGAAUCUGCCCGAUAGUGGGGGAUAACCUGGGGAAACCCAGGCUAAUACCGCAUACGUCCUACGGGAGAAAGCAGGGGAUCUUCGGACCUUGCGCUAUCGGAUGAGCCCAUGUCGGAUUAGCUUGUUGGUGAGGUAAUGGCUCACCAAGGCGACGAUCCGUAGCUGGUCUGAGAGGAUGAUCAGCCACAUCGGGACUGAGACACGGCCCGAACUCCUACGGGAGGCAGCAGUGGGGAAUAUUGGACAAUGGGCGAAAGCCUGAUCCAGCCAUGCCGCGUGUGUGAAGAAGGCCCUCGGGUUGUAAAGCACUUUCAGUGGGGAAGAAAGCCUUGGGAUUAAUACUCCCGAGGAAGGACAUCACCCACAGAAGAAGCACCGGCUAACUCCGUGCCAGCAGCCGC
This 520-nucleotide ribosomal RNA is filed under the name Halomonas sp. M6-C8. RNAcentral describes it as "bacterial SSU rRNA". It matches the Rfam family "Bacterial small subunit ribosomal RNA", at positions 1 to 518 of the family's 1533-position model. Lineage: Bacteria; Pseudomonadati; Pseudomonadota; Gammaproteobacteria; Oceanospirillales; Halomonadaceae. The record is from RNAcentral.